AAACCUAGUUCCAUCAACAAACCUACGCCUGUUAGGUCAGCUGCUUCGGUAGAUAACGCCUAUUUACCAGAUGCUACCGAAAUAAAGCAAUAGGAUGUACCUCGAAUCCAACCUCAACCAUCACCACCAAUAGACAUGCUCAGUUUAAACCAGCCCCAACCCCAGCUGCCGGUGCAAGAUCCACAAGCCACUGUUAUGCCAACGAGUGACGCUAGUUUCGAUUUGCUUGGAGCAUUCGGGGAUGAUAAUUCAUCUGACAUUGGCUCGGCUCCAAUACCUGAUAUUUUAGAAAUUAAUGUACAACCAACUUCAAAUGCCAACCUUGAUGAUAUCUUCGGUUCAGUUGGUUCAUCGGCGCCGAAAAUCACCCUUUAGUUUGAUAGUUUUUCUGUACACCAGCCGACACCAACUAGUGCAAACACUUCAGCGACGACUACAGUAAUCCCAACCUGGUGUACUAGUUGGUGUAGUGGUAGUUGGUGUCAUAGUUAUUUUUCUUCUCUGUUUUUGGAAGCUAGUGCAAUGAGUAUAUUAUAUACAUAUAUGUGCAGUAUAUUAUAUUUU
Rhagoletis zephyria (snowberry fruit fly) is the source of this 564-nucleotide long non-coding RNA. RefSeq lists it as uncharacterized. Lineage: Eukaryota; Metazoa; Arthropoda; Insecta; Diptera; Tephritidae. The record is from RefSeq and is a predicted model, not a curated record.